Molecule: unclassified non-coding RNA, 339 nt
Filed under: soil metagenome
Description: partial contains 5.8S ribosomal RNA, internal transcribed spacer 2, and large subunit ribosomal RNA
Rfam family: 5.8S ribosomal RNA (bases 1-120)
Source: RNAcentral
GAUGAAGAACGUAGCGAAAUGCGAUAAGUAAUGCGAAUUGCAGAAUUCCGUGAGUCAUCGAAUCUUUGAACGCACAUUGCGCCCUCUGGUAUUCCGGAGGGCAUGCCUGUCUGAGCGUCAUUGUCAACCCUCAAGCUCAGCCUGCUGUUGGGUCCCCGUCGUUGCUUUAACGGCGGACCCGAAAGGUAAUGGCAGAGUCCGUGAGACCCUAGACGCAGCGAGCUUCUAGCACGCGUCUGGACGUUUUUCGGGCUCGGUCUUAACUAGAUGAUAACUUCCGAUUGACCUCAGAUCAGGUAGGGAUACCCGCUGAACUUAAGCAUAUCAAUAAGCGGAGGA